Molecule: ribosomal RNA, 864 nt
Filed under: uncultured Sebacinales
Lineage: Eukaryota; Fungi; Basidiomycota; Agaricomycetes; Sebacinales
Description: eukaryotic LSU rRNA
Rfam family: Eukaryotic large subunit ribosomal RNA
Source: RNAcentral
CCCCUAGUACGNCGAGUGAGAGGGAAGAGCUCAAAUUUUGAAUCUGGCGUCUUCGGCGNNNGUGUUNUAAUCUAGAGAAGUGUUUUCCGUGGCGGACCGUGCACAAGUCUCCUGGAAUGGAGCGUCAUGGAGGGUGAGAAUCCCGUAUAUGGCACGGACUCCCGUCGCUCUGCGAUACACUCUCGACGAGUCGAGUUGUUUGGGAAUGCAGCUCAAAGUGGGUGGUAAAUGCCAUCUAAAGCUAAAUAUUGGCGAGAGACCGAUAGCGAACAAGUACCGUGAGGGAAAGAUGAAAAGCACUUUGGAAAGAGAGUGAAACAGUACGUGAAAUUGUUAAAAGGGAAACGCUUGAAGUCAGUCGCGCCUUUCAGGAUUCAGCCUUGCUUCUGCUCGGUUUACUUCCUGUUGGGUGGGUCAACGUCAGUUUCAGCCAGAGGAGAAAGGCUCGGGGAAUGUGACAGGCUUGCCUGUGUUAUAGCCCCUUGUUGUAUACUUUGGUCGGGACUGAGGACUGCAGCGCGCCUUUACGGCCGGGGUUCGCCCACGUACGCGCUUAGGAUGUUGGCAUAAUGGCUUUAAGCGACCCGUCUUGAAACACGGACCAAGGAGUCUAACAUGUGCGCGAGUGUCUGGGUGUAAAACUCGGACGCGAAAUGAAAGUGAAAGGUCGGGAACAUUUGCGUGUGCACCGACGCCCGGAGCUGAACUUCUGUGACGCAUCUGCGGUAGAGCGUAUAUGUUGGGACCCGAAAGAUGGUGAACUAUGCCUGAAUAGGGUGAAGCCAGAGGAAACUCUGGUGGAGGCUCGUAGCGAUUCUGACGUGCAAAUCGAUCGUCAAAUUUGGGUAUAGGGGCGAAAGACUA